GAAUCUUUGAUCUCAAAUCAGGUAGGACUACCCGCUGAACUUAAGCAUAUCAAUAAGCGGAGGAAAGAACUAACAAGGAUUCCCCCUAGUAACUGCGAGUGAAGCGGGAAGAGCUCAAAUUUAAAAUCUGGCGUGCCUCUGGUCGUCCGAAUUGUAGUCUGGAGAAGCGUUUUCUGUGUUGGACCGUGUAUAAGUCCCUUGGAACAGGGCGUCAUAGAGGGUGAGAAUCCCGUCUUUGACACGGACUACCAAUGCUUUGUGAUGCGCUCUCAAAGAGUCGAGUUGUUUGGGAAUGCAGCUCAAAAUGGGUGGUAAAUUCCAUCUAAAGCUAAAUAUAGGCGAGAGACCGAUAGCGAACAAGUACCGUGAGGGAAAGAUGAAAAGCACUUUGGAAAGAGAGUUAAACAGUACGUGAAAUUGCUGAAAGGGAAACGCUUGAAGUCAGUCACGUCUGCCAGGACUCAGCCUCGCUCCUGCUUGGUGCACUUUCUGGUUUGACGGGCCAACAUCAAUUUUGACCGUUGGAGAAAGGCUUUGGGAAUGUGGCACCUUCGGGUGUGUUAUAGCCCUUUGUUGUAUACGACGGUUGGGAUUGAGGACUGCAGCACGCCUUCAUGGCCGGGGUUCGCCCACGUACGUGCUUAGGAUGUUGGCAUAAUGGCUUUAAGCGACCCGUCUGGAAACACGGACCAA
RNAcentral lists this ribosomal RNA (693 nucleotides) under uncultured Tomentella. RNAcentral's name for it is "eukaryotic LSU rRNA". It matches the Rfam family "Eukaryotic large subunit ribosomal RNA", at positions 1 to 669 of the family's 3401-position model. The record is from RNAcentral. Lineage: Eukaryota; Fungi; Basidiomycota; Agaricomycetes; Thelephorales; Thelephoraceae.